CAAGACGUAGCUAUAAAUCCCAAAGCAUUCAGCUUACACCUGAAAGAUACCACCAUAAACGGGGUCGCCUUGA
RNAcentral lists this transfer RNA (73 nucleotides) under Lyrurus tetrix (black grouse). RNAcentral's name for it is "tRNA-Val". The record is from RNAcentral. Lineage: Eukaryota; Metazoa; Chordata; Aves; Galliformes; Phasianidae.